This 253-nucleotide ribosomal RNA is filed under the name uncultured bacterium. Its description in RNAcentral is "partial 16S ribosomal RNA". It matches the Rfam family "Bacterial small subunit ribosomal RNA", at positions 524 to 776 of the family's 1533-position model. The record is from RNAcentral.
UACGAAGGGGGCUAGCGUUACUCGGAUUGACUGGGCGUAAAGGGCGCGUAGGCGGUUCGUACAGUCAGACGUGAAAUUCCUGGGCUCAACCUGGGGGCUGCGUUUGAUGCGUGCGGGCUUGAGUUCGGAAGAGGGUCGUGGAAUUCCUAGUGUAGAGGUGAAAUUCGUAGAUAUUGGGAAGAACACCGGUGGCGAAGGCGGCGACCUGGUCCGAUACUGACGCUGAGGCGCGAAAGCGUGGGGAGCAAACAGG